UCAGUGUGAAGGAAUUGCUGCAGCUACGUUCCACAGUGCCAAAGAGGAAAUCAAUGUACCAGCCCCUUCAGCCACACUCACCAGUGCCAGGUUCAGGCAGCCGACCUCAGAGCUAGCUGGAGAGCCCAGACAUGACCAAAAGCGGUCUCAGACCCACUAGAUGGCACUGUGUGUGGCUGUUACCAGACUUCAAACCAGAGGCACCGCUUAGCCUGAGCUCGGCAGCUUCUAUCUUAGCUGCAUGGCUUUGAUUUCCAGCACAAGUCCCACCGCCUGGCACCUCACCCAGCUGUUCUGCCCAUUCAGCAACUUUUGGGUUUCUCAGUCACCCUAAAUUAGUGCUCUUUCAGACAAAUCCCAGUAUGCUGUGGUGGUAUUUUUUUUCUCAAGAAACUCCACGGUGAUAUUUUUCCAGUUCCUGGACCUUGCCCAAAACAUUCCAGAGGUUUCAAGAAAUAUUGAGAAAGUCGAGUCUGCAGGGGGUGCUGCACAAGCUCCUGUCUCUCAUUCCUCCCCCUCACUAACAGCAGGGAAUAAUCUGAUGUAAAUAGACGGGUAGUGCCAGAAAUGUGACAAAGAAGGAAAGAGAGGUGCUGCAUACAGUCUGAAGCAAAUGCCAUCUCACUGCCUUUCAGUAUAUGCUCAUCCCUUUGUGCUACUGUAGUGGUGCCUUGUAAAUGGAUCUUAAUUUCAUAAUAUUAUAUGGCAAUAAUUCUUUCCUGACAAGCAACCAUGACUGUGGUUGGUAAGCAUCUAUUUGAAAAUGGAAAAGCUAAAUAGGCCUUAAAGUAAUUAAGAUUCAAAGAUUUUUUUCUUCCUACUGCAACUCCAAAAGAGAAUCAGCUUCAAAACAUGCCUUAAAUGUAUAAACAGUGUAUUAGUAAGGGCAUUUCUCAGUAAGGGCUGAGGAUUCAGAAUAUGGGGAUAUCAAUUACAUCUUCUUUUAGCUUUCCACAGAAGGUUUCCAAGAAGGUGGCUAUCUAGAACUGAAUAGACAACCACAUUUUUGCUGAAUAGCUAGAAAGCUAAGGAAACUCAUUAUGUGGUUUUUAAAAAGUCUUGUGAAUUGUGGAAAAGAUAUGUAAUGUUUCUGCUGAAAAAAUGCCAUCAUAAUUAUCUAUAUGUUCUUUAUUUCACGCCAAGAAUUUUCAACAAUGAAUGCCUUUCUUGCGACCUUCAUAAAUAAAUAAAUAACUGGCAGUAUCACUGUCAUGAGAUACAUUUGUGCUUACUACUACACAGCUGUUCUGAGCGCUGCAUGUAUUAUAUGUAAAUAAUUGAUUUUCCACCUCUGACAGAUGAGGUUGUAAAAAUGAUUAAAAUAAAUACUGUUGGUUUGAGGGU
Long non-coding RNA from Pezoporus occidentalis (night parrot), 1344 nucleotides. RefSeq lists it as uncharacterized. Lineage: Eukaryota; Metazoa; Chordata; Aves; Psittaciformes; Psittacidae. The record is from RefSeq and is a predicted model, not a curated record. The transcript is spliced from 2 exons.